GCUGGGCGCGGUGGCUCACGCCUGUAAUCCCAGCACUUUGGGAGGCCGAGACGGGCGGAUCACCUGAGGUCAGGAGUUCGAGACCAGCCUGGUCAACAUGGUGAAACCCCGUCUCUA
Unclassified non-coding RNA from Papio anubis (olive baboon), 117 nucleotides. It matches the Rfam family "Metazoan signal recognition particle RNA". From Rfam's summary of the family: The signal recognition particle (SRP) is a universally conserved ribonucleoprotein. The record is from Ensembl. Lineage: Eukaryota; Metazoa; Chordata; Mammalia; Primates; Cercopithecidae.